Molecule: small RNA, 27 nt
Filed under: Bombyx mori (domestic silkworm)
Lineage: Eukaryota; Metazoa; Arthropoda; Insecta; Lepidoptera; Bombycidae
Description: ovarian small RNA-20349
Source: RNAcentral
UACAUAAAGAUUUUGAUGUCACUAAAU